Molecule: ribosomal RNA, 253 nt
Filed under: uncultured bacterium
Lineage: Bacteria
Description: partial 16S ribosomal RNA
Rfam family: Bacterial small subunit ribosomal RNA
Source: RNAcentral
UACGUAGGUGGCAAGCGUUGUCCGGAUUUAUUGGGUUUAAAGGGUGCGUAGGCGGCCCCGUAAGUCAGUGCUGAAAUAUCCCGGCUUAACCGGGAGGGUGGCAUUGAUACUGCGAGGCUUGAGUAAAGUUGAGGUAGGCGGAAUUGACGGUGUAGCGGUGAAAUGCUUAGAUAUCGUCAAGAACACCGAUAGUGUAGACAGCUUACUAGCUUUAACUGACGCUGAGGCACGAAAGUGUGGGGGAUCAAACAGG